AUAUUCUUGGGACUGGCUGUGACAUCUGUCACCCCCACUGAUGGCCAGGGUUGAUUUGGCUGAUUUGACUGGCUAGGCAGGUGUCCCCUUCCUCCCUCACCGCUCCAUGUGCGUCCCUCCGGAAGCUGUGUGCUAGGUUGAAGAGAACGACCUUCCCGGAAUAGAGGAGGACUGGUCUUUGGUCAGGGUAUACAGAUAGCUGUGCUGUCCUGCUCGAACUUCAAACAAGCUCUCAAGGGACAUUAUAUUCUGUCUGAAGACUGACAGCAAUGCCGGAAUCAUCAAAUGAAAAAGAACUGGCAUUAUGAAAAUAAUGCAUUAGU
Unclassified non-coding RNA from Mesocricetus auratus (golden hamster), 323 nucleotides. Its record names the gene 7SK. It matches the Rfam family "7SK RNA". Rfam says of the family: 7SK was discovered as an abundant small nuclear RNA in the mid-70s but a possible function has only recently been suggested. Two independent studies have found that 7SK RNA binds the CDK9/cyclin T complex (known as elongation factor P-TEFb). The record is from Ensembl. Lineage: Eukaryota; Metazoa; Chordata; Mammalia; Rodentia; Cricetidae.